This 503-nucleotide ribosomal RNA is filed under the name Cryptosporidium scrofarum. RNAcentral's name for it is "SSU rRNA". It matches the Rfam family "Eukaryotic small subunit ribosomal RNA", at positions 547 to 1091 of the family's 1831-position model. The record is from RNAcentral. Lineage: Eukaryota; Apicomplexa; Conoidasida; Eucoccidiorida; Cryptosporidiidae.
AUUGGAGGGCAAGUCUGGUGCCAGCAGCCGCGGUAAUUCCAGCUCCAAUAGCGUAUAUUAAAGUUGUUGCAGUUAAAAAGCUCGUAGUUGAUUUUCUGUUAAUUUUUAUGUAUAAUAUUGCGAUAUUUACAUAAUAUUAACAUAAUUCACAUUACUUUACAGUAUGUGGAAUUUUACUUUGAGAAAAUUAGAGUGCUUAAAGCAGGCUAUUGCCUUGAAUACUCCAGCAUGGAAUAAUAUUAAGGAUUUUUAUUCUUCUUAUUGGUUCUAGAAUAAAAAUAAUGAUUAAUAGGAACAGUUGGGGGCAUUUGUAUUUAACAGUUAGAGGUGAAAUUCUUAGAUUUGUUAAAGACAAACUACUGCGAAAGCAUUUGCCAAGGAUGUUUUCAUUAAUCAAGAACGAAAGUUAGGGGAUCGAAGACGAUCAGAUACCGUCGUAGUCUUAACCAUAAACUAUGCCAACUAGAGAUUGGAGGUUGUUCCUUACUCCUUCAGCACCUUAA